This 468-nucleotide ribosomal RNA is filed under the name uncultured bacterium. RNAcentral describes it as "partial 16S ribosomal RNA". It matches the Rfam family "Bacterial small subunit ribosomal RNA", at positions 28 to 507 of the family's 1533-position model. The record is from RNAcentral.
GACGAACGCUGGCGGCGUGCUUAACACAUGCAAGUCGAACGGAAAGGCCCUGCUUUUGUGGGGUGCUCGAGUGGCGAACGGGUGAGUAACACGUGAGUAACCUGCCCUUGACUUUGGGAUAACUUCAGGAAACUGGGGCUAAUACCGGAUAGGAGCCCCUGCUGCAUGGUGGGGGUUGGAAAGUUUCGGCGGUUGGGGAUGGACUCGCGGCUUAUCAGCUUGUUGGUGGGGUAGUGGCUUACCAAGGCUUUGACGGGUAGCCGGCCUGAGAGGGUGACCGGCCACAUUGGGACUGAGAUACGGACCAGACUCCUACGGGAGGCAGCAGUGGGGAAUAUUGCACAAUGGGCGGAAGCCUGAUGCAGCAACGCCGCGUGCGGGAUGACGGCCUUCGGGUUGUAAACCGCUUUCGCCUGUGACGAAGCGUGAGUGACGGUAAUGGGUAAAGAAGCACCGGCUAACUACGUG